Long non-coding RNA from Sapajus apella (tufted capuchin), 532 nucleotides. RefSeq lists it as uncharacterized. The record is from RefSeq and is a predicted model, not a curated record. The transcript is spliced from 2 exons. NCBI's taxonomy places the organism in Eukaryota, Metazoa, Chordata, Mammalia, Primates, Cebidae.
GAACGGCCUGGGAGAAUACCCACCAAGUACUGGGUUAAGAAGAGAGGAUACCAAAGUCCCCCACACCUUUGCCUCCCUCCUUCCCACGCUCCCCAACUAAGAGAAACAUGUGUUCAUCAUUCCUCAGACAGAAGAUUUCCUGGAAAUGUUUUUGUUUGAAAACAAAUGUUUUUGUUUGAAAACCUCACUGCUCAGAGCUAAGAACAGAGGACGAGUCCCGCUAUUAAGGAAUAAACCUUGUGAAGCAGGCGGUGGUGGAAGCCACCGUCUGCUUCCUGUAUAGUGGAGAAUCUGAUUUGGGGUCUGUGAUUUGAAGGACGGUAUUCCCAGAUUCGGUGUCAUUUUCCCCUGGCCAGUCUCCCUUCCUCUUUUCUUAUACCUCAUGAGGGAAAAUGAACAGCCACAGCCAUAGAGAAGUGAAAUCCAUCGGCUAUGCCCAGUUUCUGCCCAAUAUCCUUAGUUGUUAAUGUCAUUCAUUUUUUUGGAAGCCACUUCAAACCCUUUUUGGAAUAAAAAUAGUUAUUAUACAUAA